GGACCCAUAACUCAGUUGGUUAGAGUAGCGGUCUCAUAAACCGAAGGUCCCCGGUUCAAGCCCGGGUGGGUCCA
Molecule: transfer RNA, 74 nt
Filed under: gut metagenome
Description: tRNA-Met
Rfam family: tRNA
About the family: Transfer RNA (tRNA) molecules are approximately 80 nucleotides in length. Their secondary structure includes four short double-helical elements and three loops (D, anti-codon, and T loops). Further hydrogen bonds mediate the characteristic L-shaped molecular structure. tRNAs have two regions of fundamental functional importance: the anti-codon, which is responsible for specific mRNA codon recognition, and the 3' end, to which the tRNAs corresponding amino acid is attached (by aminoacyl-tRNA synthetases). tRNAs cope with the degeneracy of the genetic code in two manners: having more than one tRNA (with a specific anti-codon) for a particular amino acid; and 'wobble' base-pairing, i.e. permitting non-standard base-pairing at the 3rd anti-codon position.
Source: RNAcentral